This 218-nucleotide long non-coding RNA is filed under the name Theobroma cacao (cacao). RNAcentral's name for it is "long non-coding RNA (TCAC_LNC000485)". The record is from RNAcentral. Lineage: Eukaryota; Viridiplantae; Streptophyta; Magnoliopsida; Malvales; Malvaceae.
AGAAGCUCUGGUUCUUUUUUAAUAAGUACACAUUGUUACAUAUUUUUCUAUUGCUUCAUACUAGAAGGAAUCUGAUAGAUAUUGGAUUGUCAUUAUACAAAAAUAAAAAGGGCAAUGGCAUGUUCUUGAUACCUUCUGUAUGAAGUGUGUACUAUUGUUUUUGUGUCAAUAAUGCUAUGAAUAUAUAAUUAUUUUUUCAAGGGUAGCAUCAAACUCAA